RNAcentral lists this ribosomal RNA (483 nucleotides) under uncultured Niastella sp. Its description in RNAcentral is "bacterial SSU rRNA". It matches the Rfam family "Bacterial small subunit ribosomal RNA", at positions 8 to 482 of the family's 1533-position model. The record is from RNAcentral. Lineage: Bacteria; Pseudomonadati; Bacteroidota; Chitinophagia; Chitinophagales; Chitinophagaceae.
AGAGUUUGAUCCUGGCUCAGGAUGAACGCUAGCGGCAAGCUUAAUACAUGCAAGUCGAGGGGCAGCAGGUUUGUAGCAAUACAGAUGCUGGCGACCGGCAAACGGGUGCGGAACACGUACAGAACCUUCCUUUAAGUGGGGAAUAGCCCAGGGAAACUUGGAUUAAUACCCCGUAAUAUAUAGAAGUGGCAUCACUUUUAUAUUAUAGCUCCGGCGCUUGAAGAUGGCUGUGCGGCUGAUUAGGUAGUUGGCGGGGUAACGGCCCACCAAGCCUGCGAUCAGUAACUGGUGUGAGAGCACGACCAGUCACACGGGCACUGAGACACGGGCCCGACUCCUACGGGAGGCAGCAGUAAGGAAUAUUGGGCAAUGGACGCAAGUCUGACCCAGCUAUGCCGCGUGGAGGAUGAAGGUCCUCUGGAUUGUAAACUUCUUUUAUCUGGGAAGAAACCUAUUUUUUCUAAAAUAGCUGACGGUACCAGG